RNAcentral lists this ribosomal RNA (1251 nucleotides) under Bacillus safensis. RNAcentral describes it as "bacterial SSU rRNA". It matches the Rfam family "Bacterial small subunit ribosomal RNA", at positions 103 to 1341 of the family's 1533-position model. Lineage: Bacteria; Bacillati; Bacillota; Bacilli; Caryophanales; Bacillaceae. The record is from RNAcentral.
CGGGUGAGUAACACGUGGGUAACCUGCCUGUAAGACUGGGAUAACUCCGGGAAACCGGAGCUAAUACCGGAUAGUUCCUUGAACCGCAUGGUUCAAGGAUGAAAGACGGUUUCGGCUGUCACUUACAGAUGGACCCGCGGCGCAUUAGCUAGUUGGUGGGGUAAUGGCUCACCAAGGCGACGAUGCGUAGCCGACCUGAGAGGGUGAUCGGCCACACUGGGACUGAGACACGGCCCAGACUCCUACGGGAGGCAGCAGUAGGGAAUCUUCCGCAAUGGACGAAAGUCUGACGGAGCAACGCCGCGUGAGUGAUGAAGGUUUUCGGAUCGUAAAGCUCUGUUGUUAGGGAAGAACAAGUGCGAGAGUAACUGCUCGCACCUUGACGGUACCUAACCAGAAAGCCACGGCUAACUACGUGCCAGCAGCCGCGGUAAUACGUAGGUGGCAAGCGUUGUCCGGAAUUAUUGGGCGUAAAGGGCUCGCAGGCGGUUUCUUAAGUCUGAUGUGAAAGCCCCCGGCUCAACCGGGGAGGGUCAUUGGAAACUGGGAAACUUGAGUGCAGAAGAGGAGAGUGGAAUUCCACGUGUAGCGGUGAAAUGCGUAGAGAUGUGGAGGAACACCAGUGGCGAAGGCGACUCUCUGGUCUGUAACUGACGCUGAGGAGCGAAAGCGUGGGGAGCGAACAGGAUUAGAUACCCUGGUAGUCCACGCCGUAAACGAUGAGUGCUAAGUGUUAGGGGGUUUCCGCCCCUUAGUGCUGCAGCUAACGCAUUAAGCACUCCGCCUGGGGAGUACGGUCGCAAGACUGAAACUCAAAGGAAUUGACGGGGGCCCGCACAAGCGGUGGAGCAUGUGGUUUAAUUCGAAGCAACGCGAAGAACCUUACCAGGUCUUGACAUCCUCUGACAACCCUAGAGAUAGGGCUUUCCCUUCGGGGACAGAGUGACAGGUGGUGCAUGGUUGUCGUCAGCUCGUGUCGUGAGAUGUUGGGUUAAGUCCCGCAACGAGCGCAACCCUUGAUCUUAGUUGCCAGCAUUCAGUUGGGCACUCUAAGGUGACUGCCGGUGACAAACCGGAGGAAGGUGGGGAUGACGUCAAAUCAUCAUGCCCCUUAUGACCUGGGCUACACACGUGCUACAAUGGACAGAACAAAGGGCUGCAAGACCGCAAGGUUUAGCCAAUCCCAUAAAUCUGUUCUCAGUUCGGAUCGCAGUCUGCAACUCGACUGCGUGAAGCUGGAAUCGCUAGUAA